Molecule: long non-coding RNA, 1349 nt
Organism: Labeo rohita (rohu)
Lineage: Eukaryota; Metazoa; Chordata; Actinopteri; Cypriniformes; Cyprinidae
Exons: 4
Source: RefSeq, a predicted model, not a curated record
CUGAAAUAUUCACUCGGUCAUUUCCUGGUCGAUUCUGGUGUUCUUCGCUGUGAUUAUUGAAAGGUUAGACGCUUUAGCUGCCUGCUUCAUGGAUUUAUUUGAACAAAAAUCUGGAAAAAAGGAAUAAAUAUUUACAGAUCUGGAUUUAGAUCUACAUGCCGGCAGGAUGACAAGAAAACUAAAAAAGAUGCAAGUGAGAGAACAAAAUGCAGUUGAAGAAAAAGAAAAGCAGAGAAAGAAAACAGCACUGAGAGACAAAGCCAAACUUGCACACAAGAAAAAAACAAUGAAGAGAGGAAAAGAAAAUGCCUGUGGAUUCAGAGAACAUCUAAAAGUGCACCAGAUGAACAGCUCUGAAAUAAAUCGACCAAACUUCUCUCCCCAUCCAGUCUGACCUCCAGAGUGUCAUUUUAUGUGAGAGAAAUUCAAACAUGAGAAAGAAGCCGUUUUCUCACCUAUAGAAUGUUCUUCACAUCCCUUUAAGUUAAUGAUUCAGAAAGACACUGGAAUACAAAACAACAAUAUUUUUAGAGUUCAUAACUUGAUGACUAUAACUGUACUGUGAACAUAUUUAAACUUAUUUAGCUUUAAUAUUGUGUGCACAUGUGUCAUAUGAUCAGACGAUGUUAGAGAAGUAACACUGAAAUCAAAUGUUUGAACUGUUUUGAACUGUAGCUGUACCUUGUUCUCAUUUCAAGUAUGAACAACAGUGAAAACAAUGACUGUGAAGCAAUAGUUGUUCCAGAAAUGCCAGUUCGCUUAUUUCCAUGUGAUUAUACACUUGCUAAAGCUGCAUGGUUUUCUUUGUGGACAAAUCUAGAUUUUAACUAGUGACUUCAGGCACUUUAUUCUGGCAUGCAGGAAAUGGUUAUCUUUCUUUAAAUGUGUCAUUACUGUACUCAUACUUUCCAUUUAGGUGUUUUUAUCUGAAGAAUCUGGUGUCAGGUUUCUCAUGGAGCUGCACUACGAUCUCUGUUUUUUGAGUUACAUGAACUAAAUGAUCCGGGUAUUAUGUUUCUGUAUUAUUUUGAUUCUGUUCACUUUGUGAAAGGUUAUGAAAGUGUCCAAGUAUACAUUACACUGUCCUUAUUCCUGAACAGGUGUUUGUUUUCAGUCAUUAUAAUGACUACCCAAAAGUGUCUGUUGCUUUGCAACGCACAAUAAAUAUUUCACUUUAGCCAACAAAUAUGACCUUCUAAAGAUUGACUUUUUACAUAUGGAGAUAUAAAAUAUCUAAAAGAAAUCAAUAAUAAAUAUGAAUGCCUAGUUGUCAGGUUACUAGUGAUAAAUAAACAAGUAAAGAAAUAAGUGCAUGAUCAUGUAUAAAUGUUCAAACCUAAAACAAAUAU